This 200-nucleotide ribosomal RNA is filed under the name uncultured bacterium. RNAcentral describes it as "partial 16S ribosomal RNA". It matches the Rfam family "Bacterial small subunit ribosomal RNA", at positions 328 to 539 of the family's 1533-position model. The record is from RNAcentral.
ACGCUCGACACCUACGGGGGGCAGCAGUGGGGAAUAUUGCACAAUGGGGGAAACCCGUGAUGCAGCGACGCCGCGUGAGCGAAGAAGUAUUUCGGUAUGUAAAGCUCUAUCAGCAGGGAAGAAGAAAGACGGUACCUGACUAAGAAGCCCCGGCUAACUACGUACCAGCAGCCGCGGUAAUCUGAGCGGGCUGGCAAGGC